AGGACGAACGCUGGCGGCGUGCUUAACACAUGCAAGUCGAGCGGUAAGGCCUUUCGGGGUACACGAGCGGCGAACGGGUGAGUAACACGUGGGUGAUCUGCCCUGCACUCUGGGAUAAGCCUGGGAAACUGGGUCUAAUACCGGAUAUGACCUGCUCUCGCGUGGGGGUGGGUGGAAAGAUUUAUCGGUGCAGGAUGGGCCCGCGGCCUAUCAGCUUGUUGGUGGGUAAUGGCCUACCAAGGCGACGACGGGUA
RNAcentral lists this ribosomal RNA (254 nucleotides) under uncultured soil bacterium. Its description in RNAcentral is "partial 16S ribosomal RNA". It matches the Rfam family "Bacterial small subunit ribosomal RNA", at positions 26 to 285 of the family's 1533-position model. The record is from RNAcentral.